Molecule: transfer RNA, 86 nt
Filed under: Phoenicibacter congonensis
Lineage: Bacteria; Bacillati; Actinomycetota; Coriobacteriia; Eggerthellales; Eggerthellaceae
Description: tRNA-Leu
Rfam family: tRNA
About the family: Transfer RNA (tRNA) molecules are approximately 80 nucleotides in length. Their secondary structure includes four short double-helical elements and three loops (D, anti-codon, and T loops). Further hydrogen bonds mediate the characteristic L-shaped molecular structure. tRNAs have two regions of fundamental functional importance: the anti-codon, which is responsible for specific mRNA codon recognition, and the 3' end, to which the tRNAs corresponding amino acid is attached (by aminoacyl-tRNA synthetases). tRNAs cope with the degeneracy of the genetic code in two manners: having more than one tRNA (with a specific anti-codon) for a particular amino acid; and 'wobble' base-pairing, i.e. permitting non-standard base-pairing at the 3rd anti-codon position.
Source: RNAcentral
GCCCGGGUGGCGGAAUGGCAGACGCGUCGGUCUCAAAAACCGAUUUCUUCACGGGAGUGUGGGUUCGAAUCCCACUCCGGGCACCA